This 559-nucleotide ribosomal RNA is filed under the name uncultured Glomus. RNAcentral describes it as "SSU rRNA". It matches the Rfam family "Eukaryotic small subunit ribosomal RNA", at positions 546 to 1106 of the family's 1831-position model. The record is from RNAcentral. Lineage: Eukaryota; Fungi; Glomeromycota; Glomeromycetes; Glomerales; Glomeraceae.
AAUUGGAGGGCAAGUCUGGUGCCAGCAGCCGCGGUAAUUCCAGCUCCAAUAGCGUAUAUUAAAGUUGUUGCAGUUAAAAAGCUCGUAGUUGAAUUUCGGGGUUAGUAGGUUGGUCAUGCCUCUGGUAUGUACUGAUCUUACUGAUUCCUCCUUCCUUAUGAACCGUAAUGCCAUUAAUUUGGUGUUGCGGGGAAUUUGGACUGUUACUUUGAAAAAAUUAGAGUGUUUAAAGCAGGCUAACGCUUGAAUACAUUAGCAUGGAAUAAUGAAAUAGGACGUUCGAUCUUAUUUUGUUGGUUUCUAGGAUUGACGUAAUGAUUAAUAGGGAUAGUUGGGGGCAUUAGUAUUCAAUUGUCAGAGGUGAAAUUCUUGGAUUUAUUGAAGACUAACUACUGCGAAAGCAUUUGCCAAGGAUGUUUUCAUUAAUCAAGAACGAAAGUUAGGGGAUCGAAGACGAUCAGAUACCGUCGUAGUCUUAACCAUAAACUAUGCCGACUAGGGAUCGGAUGAUGUUAAUUUUUUAAUGACUCAUUCGGCGCCUUACGGGAAACCAAAGUGU